Molecule: long non-coding RNA, 10651 nt
Organism: Columba livia (rock pigeon)
Lineage: Eukaryota; Metazoa; Chordata; Aves; Columbiformes; Columbidae
Exons: 3
Source: RefSeq, a predicted model, not a curated record
AAAGACCAAGCCAUCCUCAAGCCAGACCUUGCCCUUGGAGUAGCCUCUGAAACAUGCCCUUGAAUGUUACAGAAGGACAUAUGUUUUUCCAUUUGAUUUCAAAUGAUUUUGACAAAUUUUAAAAUUCUCACAUCUUCACCAAAAACUUACAGGCCAAAUAUGCUCUGGGUUAGAUGUUGCUUUUCUUUGUAUUGUUAAGAAAACUGAAGCUUUUUUUAUACCAAUCAGAUGCAAAUUCUGUCAACUCACUUAGAAUAUUUUGAGCAUAUUUAUUUAUAUGUAGAAACUACCAGGAUUUUCAAAUGUUUUAUGGCCAGUCUGUCUUUGUUUGUAUUUAAGAUACGAAAACCAUACUAUUUAAACUUCCUCCAGUUUUCUAUAUUGGUGCCAGACAGGGCAAGGAUUGACACUGGUAGGACUUCCUUUGUAAAGUUAUUCAGUUCUGGCCGGUUCCAUUGUGUUAUCUUAAUGAAUAUGUCAUUCUGCUUGUGAAUACAGCUGGUAUGUUGGAGAUUUUUCACUGAAUUACACGAAGUAUCUGGCUGAUGUGAGUAUGGAAAAACAAUAAGCACAUCUGCCUGCAUUAUAGUAAAUUAUUCACUGUAGAUCUAAUUGAGCUAACUAUGUCUGCUAGGAUGGAGAACAAUGUUACAAUCCUGUAAAUGCAGUCUGAAAAAUCUAGCCUGGAUUAAAUAUUUGGGCAAAUAACACGGACACCACUGCUUUGAUUCAGUGCAGCCUACCUUGGGAAGAAGAACCUGGUUUUUAAUCAGACCACUAUCACAUCUUUGGCAAACCCUGCCCUAUGCCCCUGAAGUAAGUACCUGAUUUGGGAAUGUCAUAGAUUGAAUACCUGGAUCUGAAUAUGCUUUAACUUUGUUGGUUUUGGCUAACUUACAACCAUGUAAUAGGUCCUGUCUGAAAAUUUGUAGGUUCAGACCAAUAACCUGAGUGCAAAAGGCCUAUUACUAAUGUAUUGAUUCGUUAUUUGACAAAGUAGAAGUUUUGAGAUGCUGCCUACUUGAAUAUAAACCAGAAAGGCCAAUAAUGUUACAAAUGAGACAUUUCUUUUGAGGCGAUCAAUCUGUUCGCAUUCUUGCUGCCCUAAGAUCCUGCCUGUGCAGGGACCAAAAGAAACUUUGUGGGGUGUUCAGUGCACUCUCAUCUCCUAGAAUCUGCAGCUGGGAUCUGCUUCAAUAAAAAACAUGCAUUUAUUGACAGAUAGUCUGACAGCUUUUCAAAGCUGCUUGGCAGCUUGUUUUUAGCAACAUGUUGCCAUGUUCAGUAUUAUCACAUCUUUUAGAUUUGUGUGAUACUAAAAGGCCAAACCUUUCAGGUAUCCGUAUGGGGUGCAAAGCAGGACUAGCACUAAGACACCCAGGAAAAUACACCUUAGGGGUUCAUUGAUUUUUCUUCUAAAAAUGUAUGACUACUAACCUUCCAGCCCUGUCAGGGACAAGCAUCCUAACUACUGUUUUCCAAGCAGUUGCUUUAGGUUGGAUUUUUUUUUCCUUUUACCUUAAGCUUGCAGGUGUCUAAGGCAACUAAGCUGAACAGCAUUCACAAAACUCUUCAAACAUCUGUGAAAUGCUAUUCAGACCAUUUUCCAGGGAACUUAAGAAAGAGUAAGAAACCUUUGCUGGAGUGUGAUAUGUUAGUCAAACUAUCUCUUGUUUAAGAAUACAACAGAUUGUAGUCAGUGGGGAGUCAUUGCGGUGCUUAAGUUCAGCACCUGCAGUAGGCUAUAGAUGCAGUUCUUCUCUGUUGACAGGGAGGGAUUCAGAGCCUGUCAGUAACCCAAACUGAGACACUAUAAGAGACAGCAAAAUAUUUUGUGGUGUUUAAAUGGGUGAGUAGAAUUAGUUUUGUUUGAUUCUUGCUGUUUUUACAUCAGGGUCAAGCGAUUUGCUAUAUAGUGAGGACUAAUACCUAAUACUAAUCAAUAGGUUCUUACUAAUUCUUCUGUAAAUUAAAUGUGCUACUUUUGAGAGAGAGAUUUGCAAGCCUUUACAGGUUGUCUUCGAUGGAGUAUGACCGAAAUACUAUGGUGUUCAUCCUGCAAAACUGAGCUCUUGAUAAUGCCUGUAAAAUAUUGAAUAAAACUGUUAAGGUGGUGCAGAUUUUAACAUUGGCAGUAGCAGAGAGGCUAUAUUCCACAUGGGCUUUCAGGAGUUGUACCCUUUAAUAAACUCAGCUUUACACAGCCAAGACAGUACAAAACAAAUGUGGUCCAGUUCAAAAUGUAAAAAAAAAAAAAGAAACACCCUGUCUGUACUCCUAGCUUAUGUGCCUGUCCUUCAGAGUUAUAUCAGCAGAAAUAACUGCUCCCACUACAUGUUGUGUCCAGAAGAGGAGAAACAACUGGAAGGUCCCAGCAGCAGCUGGCAAGUAACAAUGACUGAAUUCCAGAUGGAUCUAAAAAACUAGUGAUACCUCCUGGGAAACUUUGAAAAACAUCUUACUUUGCAAUGAUCCUGUUCACAUCACACUCGUUUUAAAUAUUUCUUUUCCUUUGUUCUUGGCAAGAAGGAACAGAUGAGCUCCUGAGAAAAAAUUCCAUUUUGAGAGACCAGCCCCUGUUAAUAAAGGCAGAGAGAAAAAAUAGGACAGGGAGAAUUGCCACUCCGUUGUGAUUUCAGACAUCAGCUGUUCAUUUGUGCAGUUUCUGUAGCUAGAUAUUUUUAAAGAAUUUUACUAGAGCCAUAGGAUAAGAUACAUUAGAAACAACCUUUACAGUAGCUCGUUUAGUCCAGUCCCCUCAUCAGAGCAAAGCCAAAUUAGAUCAGGUAACUAAGGUCCUUAGCCAGUCAGGUUUGGUUGUCUCCAAGGGUGAGUUUUCUCAACCUGCUGUGUUCAAUCAAGCUGAUACAGCCCCCCAUGCAGGUCACUGAAAUAAUGUGCUCAUAUGGACUCACAGUCAACUAGCAAGGACCAGCUUCCAUAAGGGAAGACAAGCCAGGAGUUAAGGGUGACCCCGGGAUAGACAGUAUCCCCACUGACAGGGUGUAAUUCUGAGCAUGCCAGGUAAUGGUCUGUGCUGGAAAUGGGAUCUGUGAACAGCCGCAGACACAGUGAGAGAAUGAACCAGGUCCAUGGCCCCUCCAGGGAGCCCAGCCAGGAACCAAAUGGGACAAGGCAAGAGAAAGAGUGGAAGAGAAGGUUACAAUACAGGCCAAACAUCCAUCCAGGAAGCAGAAUCAGAGGCAGGACUGGAGACCAGCAUACCUACAACUUAGCCCAAGCAGGGACCGAACCACAAGCCUGAGUUUAUACGGGGUUGCUAGGUCUAUUGGCAAACAGGAUGCAGGUCCCAGGUGAGGCUGGUCUGGACCAAUAAGACCUGUCAGUGGCCUCAGGACCCUCACAUCGAGAUCUUUCUGAAAAGAAGCCCAGCCACCACUGUAUUGUUUUCUUUCCUAAUCUCUGAAAAGCAGAACUCCCAUCUGUCUGGAAACAAAUUUGGCCCUGUCAGUGCAAACACCAUCUUUACUCAAUAGUGUUCUGCAACCUGAGACUCAGCAAUGACCUGGAAGGUUCUUGGUGAAGGGUAGGAAGGACAGGUCAUACCCUAUUCAUGUAUGCUCUCAGGCUUCUCUUUCACAGCCAGACUCUUUUCCUACUAGAUGGAUAAAAUGGUCCUUACAUGUUCAAAAUGCUUUCAUUAAGAAAGAUAACAAUUAUAUGCCAUGCCUCAGUUGCCUGAAGGGCUCAAGGGGGGGUGGUUUUUUGUUUUGUUUUGGUUUUCUCCUGAGUACACUAUUAAACAGAUACUUUUGGGGUUGGCUGGUUUCUUUUUCUCAGUCUUCCUGAGGCAUCAAUGAUCAUGUUGCUCAGUGCUCAAAGGUGACACAGACAAUUUGUGUUCUUUCACAGUCAGAGCACUGACUGGAUUCAGGAAGAAUUUUCCACUUAGGUCUGAGUUGCAAAGAUGGGUGUAGUAGAUUGUCUUUCACUACUAGGGUGCAAUUAAGGUACAAUUUAUCUUCAAAUGUGAAGUGGGAAAAGCACAUAAAUCAAUUUCUGUGCUUUGCAGCCUUAGGUUUUGGUCACAACUUGGUUUAUCUUUUUCUCUGCCAAUGACACACAACUGAUAAACCCUGAAAUUUAAAUGCUUUGACUAACUCAAAUCCGGGGUAUGGUAUUGGGUGACAGUGAGUGCCCAAUGAUAGACAGAAGGUCAAAAUUUAGUAGGAUCCCUUGUGGUUAUAUACUUUAUGCAAUGAAAGUCAUUAACUCAUUUUGCAAUAUUGAAAGAUGAUGGCCUCUGGCAUAUUAAUCCUUCAAAUAACUCUGACUUUUAGCCCCUUUGGCUAUAAAGCCUUAUACUUUUUCUCCAAUACCAUAGAAUUGGAAAAUGUACUUAGCCUGGAAGUUUCUAGAUUAAAUGUGAAGGAGAAAAAGACUCUACAUGUAGUAUUGUUCAUGCUGUAAUAUCAUAGCUCUGGAAAUACUCCUGCCAAGUUUGAAUAAAAUUUGUUAAAGUUUUACUUAAAUUAAUUUGAUUUGAGGAAGAUCAUGAGAUACAAUUACAGAAGGCAUGAAGGUUUAUUAAUGCAAAGCCAGUCUGCUAAUUAAAAGCCAUUUUGGGGGGUACCUAGUUUUAAAAACAACUUGUUAAAUGGCCCUCCAUAGUUCCCAUGCUGUUUAUAUCUCAGAAAUUAGUUUUCCAGCCACAAAAAUGGAUAAAGACAAUAUAUUUAAUAAUUAGACAGUUAAACUUGGCUGAGAGGUUAUGACUGUGUCAUACUGAAAAACAGGUCUCUUUAAAUCACAUGCAGACAGCAGCUGUAAACCAACAUUUAAUUAUUCCAAAGGAGGACUGAUAACAACUGUCUUACAUUAAGAAAUAUACUUGACAGUUUUGUGGUAGAAAGCAUUAACAUCAGAUUUUUUUUGUCAAUUAGAAAAGGUUGUUGUUACUCAUCUAGUUUGGAUAGCAUCAAAUAUCUCUGUGCUUAAACAACUUUCCUCUUUUAGAAAAACCUUCAUCUACAUUUGCCUGAGAUAGAAUAUCCAUCAAAAUUCUUGCUGCAAAGGUUAAUUCCUCUCACUCUUGAAAUACCUCAGUCUUUUGCUCAGCUUGAAUUUGUCCAGCUUAAAUUGUAUUUUGUAUUGCCUGUAUUAAAAAUGAUUUUGUGAAGAUUCAGCAACAGUGCUGCAUGACAGACAAUCAUGCCCAGCACAUGUCAAGGCCUGUCAUAAUUAUGUCAUGUUAUACUAUAAUACAAUAGUAAUUCUAUCUUGUUGUAUCAUUUCUGAAAUGAUUAACUGCAGCUAUGACUGAACUAUUCUAUUUUUUUUUGUAAACAUGUGUCUCCUGUUUGAGCUAUAAAGAAACAACCUGACACUUUGACAUCUUAAAUAGUAAUAGAAAGCAUGUAUUCACCACAAUAAUUGGAGAAAAAGAUGAUCUCGAUAUUCAGAGAAAUGAAACUAGAUAUUUAAAGUAGCAGCUUCUCUGUUAACUGUUGAUAUAAUUUGGGACUUCCAGUGAAGUAAACAGUACACUGAAGUUACAGCACUCCUGAGAAGAUGGUCUCACAGUUUUGAUGAUUGUUGUUUGGAAAGGCUUUGAGUUGUGUUUAAAUUUUGGGAGCCACAGUGAAAGAAGAGUAUUUAUUUUGAGUCAGGGAAAGAGCUGCUGAGCUCUGAUGAAAUAUGCAUUACAGUAUAUACUUGAUAUUCACUUGUAUUUUUUGCUAUUGUUGCUGUCAGUUUUUCCUGGAGCAAGGACACAUAUAACAGCACCACAAAACAAUAGACUGCUUCAGCAGUCAGAGUGCAGAUGCCUUUGAAGAAGUCUACAGGUAAGGUCUAGGUAAUUUCACAAGAUCACCUCUGUUUCCCUCUGUUACAUCAAGUGUGAAGAUGUACAGAUCACUACUGGUAGCAUGCCAGUGCCCCAUGACCUGGCCUAGAGUCUCCUGUAGGUGAAGAAAGGCAGAGAAUAAACAAUUGAUGAUUUUUGGAUUCUGCAUCUGCUGGUCCAUGCGAACAAGACAGCUAUCCGUAAGUUUUUCUCCAACAUCUAUUUUGAGAAGAAGAGUAAGAGCUAACAGACAUUUCUAACGUAUAUAUCACUCCUUGGUUGAUGAAGUUCCACCAACAGAUAGGCAAUACGAGCUUUUGAGUUUGAUCAGGCUGUAACUACUAAGGGACUGCAGUGCUCACAAAAAUAGCUCACCUGACUGUAUGGAAGAGCUGAUGGACUGUGGUUACCACUGUUUUGCUGGAGAAUUUGCACUGAAAUGGGGGACUAGGAAUAGGAUGGUCCACAACCAUCUUUAUGUGGCAACCUAGGUUAGAAGUCUGCUAGAGGUAACGAAAUGGAGAUCAAUGGAGUGGGUAUGGAUUUACUGAUGCUUUUUCCUUUUCCAGAACAGACAGGCUCCAGCAGUUUAGAAAGUUUGAGCUGCACAGACAGGGAUCUUCGACUCUCCUCUGCAGAGAAAUAAUGUGGUUCUACCCACUGAUACCAUGAAGAACAUUUCUGUACAGAGCCAGUGGUUGCUUUUACAGAAGACAAAAUGUCUGAGAAAUAAGUGCCACCACUUUUGUCUCACCAUGGCAGGAUUAGUCCGUUUCAGGAGGGCUCUUGUCUCAUCUUCGCAGGAAUAUUGUUUGGGCUCAUACUUGCAUUUCCAAAAUUCAGUUUAUACUUUACUGGCAGAGCACCCUGAAUUUAUUCUGAAAUGGUUGUUAAGACUACGACUGCUUCCAUACUGGAACACUGAAAACUAUUUAUGCUACUGCGUGCUCAUAAAAUAUGUAUUUAAACAGUCUUCUCAGAACUAAAUGUUGACUGCAGCUGCUCAGUUGAGAUCCUUAUUAUUUGCAUUAUUAUCAUGAGAUAUAGGUACGCUAUACAUCUUGUAUAAUUUUCAAACCUCUCUUUGUAUGUCAAACUCACUGUGUAAGAGAGGUGGAUACUGUCAAUGCUCACGUUAUAUCCUACGUCUCUGGUGCACUGAGCUCAGUUUUACUUUUUUUUAGUUAGGUGUCCAAAAACAUUCCUCCUAAAUCACACUUUCAUCAAAGAAAUGGCUUUGUUUGACUGCAAUGCAAGCAACUUGACCAUUAAGAGUUAAAACCUUUAUUUACAUGGGAAUGUUGUCCACCUUUUUCUGUCAGUGGAAAUAUAAUUUGAAGAUUUGGUUAUUUGAUCUUCUGUAACCCACUGACAUGGAUUAACAAACUUCUUGGGUGCUUGAACAGUUGGUGUAUGUGCCUGCUCUGCCAUGAAGUGCAAUGGCUUUUUUUCUUGACGAAAAAAAUAGGAAUUCCAUACAUAUGUUGAUAAAGUUUGUGAACUCUGAUGAUAAUUCUUAACACCACCAACUCAGCUUCAUCAUCUGAAAUAAAUUUUCUUUGGAAUUAAAACAAUGUAAAUACCCUUUUUCUUGGAUGUGAAAUUGAACUGUGGCUGCACAUACAUGGACUCCAUAUAAUCAGAUGUACUAGCAGCUUUGAUCAAGGUUAAUAUCUGCCAAACUAGUAACGAUUCCUUUGCUAUUUUUAAACCUAUGUCAUACCUUGCUUUCCAAAUGCAUUUUUUUUCUUGACCUAGAGGAUCAGAAGCUGAAAUGAGAUGCAGGCAGCAACUACAGAAUACCUCUGACAGCCUUUCAGUGUUUGCCUGAUUCAGGAAACAAACUUAAGCUAGGAAAAUAUUCCCUUUCUCUUUGAACCUCACUGCCUUUUUAAUUUAGGGGUUGAAGCAAAGAUGUCGGAAAGCCUUAAAGAAACUUAUUUUCCUGUUUGGGUUCUUGACCACAAAGGGCUACUUUUCAAUUCGGUUUCAGAUUUGAUUUCAAUGAGGACAAGUGUUCUUCUAUAUGUCUUCAGAACUCCCCUUGACACGUUAAUUUAUUAUUCAAUACCCUUAGUCAUGCACUGCUUGCUUUCUUUGACAUUUAAUAAAGAACCUAAAGACCACAGUAACAUUCAAAUCUUCAUAUUUUAACAAAAAAUGAAGCCUAUUAUUUAGAAGUCCAGAAUAAGAUAUUGGAUCCUGUGAAACAAAAGAUUUACCCCAUAGAAUGAGGCAAAAUUCCUAUUUUGAGCCCUACAGUGCUUCUAAUGCAUUUGAAAGGUAUAACAUGUCUGAUGAGGAAAAUAUUUUAUUUGCCAAAGGACUGAAUCUUGCUUUUGGAGCAAACUUAUCUUUCAGGAAGAAGGAGAAGACUUUAUUGUGGCUGGUUGGACUAAAAGAAAUACAAAGGUACCAGAAGGCUGAAGCUCUAGAUCAAGUCCUGUGGAAAUGGAUGACAAGCAAAAGGUUUUAAGAGGUCACAGUUUUAUACAAUUCAAACAACAACAAAAAAAAAUGAAUAGAGCUAAACAGGCACACACACAUGAAAAAACAGCUCAGCCCUCUUGAUCUUAGGAUGCAGCAACAAAAUCACAAAGGAAGACAAUUGUUCCUCUGAUUGACUAACUCCUGCAGUGCAAAAGUGGUAGCUCUGUGAGCUCACUGAAAGAUGGUGGUUAAAAGAGUAAGAGUCAAGAAAAAUUGAAACUAUGAAAGAAGAGGGAAAGAAGAAUAAACCUCAUGAAAAGAAAGGGAUAUAAAGAAGAAAGGAAGAAGGAGAAUGAAAAGGAGAGAGAAAAUGAAGGUUUAAUACAUGGGAUCAUUGCACAAACCCAUUGCAAUUGUACCAGGAGCAAAAAUUGUGGGGAAAAAAAGCUUUGGGAGAGCUUAAAGAUGAUGUUAAUCCUCUCCCUGGUUCCAGCAGUGUAUUGUCACUACCUGAAAAUCACACAAGCAUCAGCAGUUGUAAAAUGUGUGUCUUGAGAUUUUGAAUUAUAUCCAUUAAAUAAGCACAGAACUAACCUAUAUGUAUUUACAAUGCUUAGUCACCUCAGUAGCUGAGCUUCUUAUAGCUCUCCUUGGGCAUUGUUUUGUAAACAUGAAUGUGGAAGAGACUAGGCUAGACCAGGCUAGAAGCAAAGAGCUGGCUAAAGGUUCCUUGUCUGUCAUGGGAACCAAAAUCACUGUUUUGCCUGCCUUGCAGUAACUGAGGUAGAUAAAGGAAAUCCUCUGAGGAUUACAACCAUUUGGAGUAGAGGAUUUAUUUUUUUUAGUAUUAUUUCCUGCAAAACCAAGAAAUUGAACCCUCAAGUAGGGUCACAUCAUGGAUUCCUCCCCAGAGCGGCAGAAUAGCCCAUCAGUUUUCAGAAGUGCUCCUGGCCCUGAUUUGAAAUAAGGGAGAGAGAUAUUCUAGGUCAGCCUUGACCCAGGAAUUUCAGCAUGAGGAAAUAAACUGAAUCACUUAAUUUGUGGGCCAAUCACCUAUCUGCAAGUUCAGCCUCAUGAGUGGCUCUUAUUCCACUCGUGCACCUUCUCAUCUAGACUGACAUGGAGAAGAAUAUCUGAGCAGAACUGUGCAGCCUGCAGGGACUCAGUUGUUAUUCCAAGCCAGUAAGACCAUAACUUGGCUCUCAAUACUCCUAUCAUAUCAGGCUGCCUCUUCUACAGAGAGGCCUUUGCGGUACCUUCUUUUCAUUUUGCGACAUUGAGUGGACACGAAGGUUGUAACCCUGUGACACUUGUUCAAGGUGCCUCUGGAGGUCAAGAUACCCAGGCUACGUACCCAAGACCUAAAUCAAAGUGACCUGAUCUUCAAAAGCACUGAACUCUGAAUAGCUUUAAGAAGAGGUCAGCUUCUCUGAAAACUAGUUUUCUUUGAUUUAAGGACUUAAUUAUGGAACCAGCCCAAUAGUAAGCAUCUAUGUGAAAACACUCAAAACUAGCUAGGGGAUUUAGCUACUGAGAUCACAUUAAUUUCAGGACCUUUGAAAAUAUCUGCCCCAGGUUUGAAAAAGUAGAUUUAGAACUUGAUUUUUUUUCCCUUUUCCCAUUUCACUGCUAAUUAUUCUUAUCUCAACCUCUUCUUAAAACCCAUACAGCAUUUUGGAAGCCUGCAUUAAUUCAUACAGUGCCUCUACACGCAGUUCUUCACUUUGUUGUAGUUUUCACUGUGAUGUAUGAUUAUUAGUUUUAUUGCUUUAUUCUCUGCUUUUCCUACCUGCCAUCAUUAUCCAUAUAGUAAAUUCUGUUGCGCUCCAUCCCGACUGCUUUGCUAUUUGUUUUGAUAAAGACAGCAGUUUUUGGACCUAUGCUAACAAGAACAGUGGCUUGUUACUUCACCAAAGAAACGCUUCUUCUAUUGUUCCCACCACCCGUUCAUUUUUUUAGUGUCAAUAAUCAUGUUCCCCUUCAGUAUAAAGACCCUCAAAAUUUUCUGAGUCUGAUUAUCAUUAUCUGCAAAGGUUUGUUCUUUGGCCUCACUAGGCACUCGAAUUUUCAUACAUGUUGCAACCUAUAUGUGUGGAAGAAUAGGAAAAAGGAGCAGAGACAUGAAAUGGAGAAAGUACACCACAGGUUAGCAAAUAAUUGUCUUACCCGUGGAUCUUUGUUUAUCGUGGCUCUGCUCUUGGAUUCUUCAUUAUCCUCUAGUUUUUACUUAGACUAGCACAGCAAUCAAUAGUCACAUUUGACAUGACGUGUUCAAGCUGGCUUAUUCCCCUGUCAUGGCAUUUAAUAAACGUGAUUAUAACCAGACUGUGCUGAAACUCCUACAGAAUAAGCUGCAGAGAGUCUGCAAAAAUUUAUUGAAGAAUGACAUGUAAAACAAACCAGACCAAUAAA